AUGUAUUCCAUGUAGGAGGAGUGGUAAGACUGGAAAAGAAAAAUGGAUUACAAUGUGCUGACCCCUGCGAUUUCCCCAAAUGUGGGAAACUCGACUGCAUAAUUUGUGGUAGUGGGGGACAGCGUUCGCACUCUCCCCUA
This 140-nucleotide small nuclear RNA is filed under the name Carlito syrichta (Philippine tarsier). Its description in RNAcentral is "U1 spliceosomal RNA (ENSTSYG00000030785.1)". It matches the Rfam family "U1 spliceosomal RNA", at positions 61 to 166 of the family's 166-position model. Rfam says of the family: U1 is a small nuclear RNA (snRNA) component of the spliceosome (involved in pre-mRNA splicing). Its 5' end forms complementary base pairs with the 5' splice junction, thus defining the 5' donor site of an intron. There are significant differences in sequence and secondary structure between metazoan and yeast U1 snRNAs, the latter being much longer (568 nucleotides as compared to 164 nucleotides in human). The record is from RNAcentral. Lineage: Eukaryota; Metazoa; Chordata; Mammalia; Primates; Tarsiidae.